RNAcentral lists this long non-coding RNA (4981 nucleotides) under Homo sapiens (human). RNAcentral's name for it is "HSALNT0147825". Lineage: Eukaryota; Metazoa; Chordata; Mammalia; Primates; Hominidae. The record is from RNAcentral.
CAGAAUCUUGAGAAAUUUGUACUUGAAUUAUUGUUAUGGUCCAUUAAACUCACUCUAAAAACUUUAAUAUGUUUCUGCUUCAGAGACUUGUUUGUCCAUGUACAGCCAUGUAACCACACUAUUUACAAUGCCCAAAGAGCAAAUUGUUUGAUUCAGCUGCAGCAAUGGUCUUUCCACAGAGAAAGUUUGCAGUUUUCAACAGCCCUAAGUGCUGCAUUCUCCUAACUGAGCUCCACAGAACUUUUUCUCCAAGUGUGUCACCGAGAAAUAGUCCUGAAAGCAGAAUACCCCAACUGGCACAAGAGAACCACUGAUUUGCUUCCUGUCACCACAGAUCGUGCACACUGAGGAAGACAGACAACAAAUAACUCUGCGGAUAGAUCAACAUAGUGAGGAACUGAGUUCUCCAAACAGCAGCUACAUGAGUGAGCCAUUCUGCAAAUGAAUCAUAAGCCCAGGCAAGCCUUUAUGUGACAACUGUUUGAAGAUAACCAUACAUAAAGACUUGAUCCAAAACCAUUCAACUAAAUCACUCCAGAUUCUUGACCCACCAAAAAAAAUGUGAGAUAAGUGUUUUGUUUUGUUCGAGUUGUUUUUUAUUUCUUUAAUUUUGGUAAUAUAUAUAUAACAAAAUUCACCAUUUUAGCCAUUUUUAAGUGUAUAAUUUAAUUGGCAUCUAGUACCCUGAUAUUUUUUUACUGCCAUCACCACCACCCAUCAAAAGAACUCUUUUCUUUUUAAUUUGAAAAGUAUUACUGUUAAUUUUACAUCAAAUGAUUCAUAAAAUUUACCAGUGCAGUCAUCUACUCCGGGCUUUUUUAUUUUUUUCCUUGAGAAGGUUUUGAUUACACAUUUAAUAUCUUUACUAAUUACAGGUUUAUUCAGAUUUUCUAUUUCUUCAUGACUUAUUCUUAGUAGAUUGCAUGUUUCUACAAAUUUGUCCAUUUCAUUAAGAUUAUCCAAUUUGUUGGCAUACAAUUGCUGGUAGUACUUUCUUAUAAUCCUUUUCAUUGAUGUAAAAUAAGUAGUAAUAUUCCCUCUUUUAUUUCUAAUUUUAGUUAUUUGAAUCUUCUUUUCUUCCCUUAGUUUGUUUAGCUAACGGUUGUCAACAUUCUUGCUCUUUUCAAAGAACCAGUUAUUGGUUUUGUUGAAUUUCUCUAUUGUUUUUCUACUAUCUAUUUUGUUUAUUUCUGUUGUAAUAUUUAUUAUUUUCUUACUUCUAGAUUUGGGUUUUGUUUGUUCUUCUUUUUCUAGUUCCUUGAGAUGUAAAUUUAGAUGGUUGAUUUGAGAUAUUUCUUCCUUCUUAUAAAUAUUUAUAGCUACAAACUUCCCUUUAACACUGCUUUUACUGCCUCCCACAAGUUGUUAUCUAAUGCAUUUUUAUCUUCAUUACUCUUGAGAUAUUUUUUCCAAUUUCCUCUGUGACUCCUUCUUUUUCCCAUUGGUGGUUUGAGUGUAUUGUUUAAUUUACACAUAUUUUUGUGAUUUCCUGUUUUCUUUUUGCCAUUGAUUUCUACCUUCAAUUCAUUGUGAUCAGAAAAUAUAAUUUGUAUGAUUUUAAUCAUUCUAAAUUUAUUAAGUUUUGCUUAUUACCUAAUAUAUGGUCUAUCCUAGAGAAAAUUCCAUAUGCACUUGAGAAAAAUGUGUAUUCUCCUAUUGUUGGGCAGUGUUCUAUAUAUGACUGUUAAGUCACAUUGGUGUAUACAGUUGUUCAAGUCCUGUGUUUCUCUGAUCUGGCUGGCUGUUCUAUCCAUUAUUGAAAGUGGAAAAUUCAAGUCUCCUACUAUUAUUGUGGAGCUUUCUAUUUCUCUUUUUAAUUCUGUCAGUGUUUGCUUCAACUGUUUAGUAGCUCUGAUGUUUGCUGCAUAUAUCUUUAUAAUUAUUACAUCUUCUUGGUGAUCUGACUCUUUUAUCACUAUAUAAUGUCCUUCUUUUAACCUUUAACAAUUUUUUACUUAAAAUAUAUUUUGUCUGAUAUUAAUAUAGCCAUGUUUGUUCUAUUUCAACUACUAUAUGCAUGGAAUAGCUUUCAUUUUCAAUCUAUGCAUGUCCUUAGAACUAAAGUGUGUCUCUUACAGAAAGCAUAUAGUUGGAUUUUAUUUUUUAAUACAAUCCACUAAUAUAUGUCUUUUGAUGGGGAGGAGGUUGUCCACAAGUGUUUGUUUUGUUUUGUUUUGAACCACUGUAUUUUGGAGUAAUCACAGCAAUAGAAAACUAACACAAUACCUGUAGAUUAGUUAACAGUAUCAUAUCAAUGUUAAUUUCCUGAUUUUUAUAAUUAUACUAUGGUUAUGAAAAACACAUUAUUAGUUUAAGGGAAAUCAUAUGAAUGUAUCUUCAGGGUUAAGAGAUAUAAUGCCUCAAAUUUUCCCUAAAUGUUUCAUAAAGACAGCAAGAUGACAAUGCAAUGUGGUAAAAUGUUAACUGCUGGCAAAAGAGGGUGAAAGUAAAUUAAAUUCUUUGUUACUAUUAUUGCAACUUUGCUUUAGGUCUAAAAUUAUGCUACAAUUUUAAAGAUUAAAUAAAACUUAAUUUGGAGACUACAAAUUAAGGACAUAUUAGAAUCCACAGUGGAAAUAUAGCACUGACACUAACUUUUAGCUUCUCUGGGUUUCCAGAAGAAAAGAAGACUGAAAAAUGAAUAGAGGUAAUAUACAGAUAGACACUCACUGAAUAUUUUACAGAAUUGAGGAAAGAUAUUAAUAUGAAGAUUAAGUAACCUAAAAUUCAAAAAAUUUAAAUUAAAGGAAAUUAAUGCCUGGACGUAUAGUACAAAUGCAUGACACUAAAGCCAAUGAAAAAAUAUUAAAUAUUGCAGGAGGAAAGAUUACCUUCUUCAAAGACAGCAAUAGCUUGACAGCUGACUUAUAUACUUUUUUUUCCUUUUUUAUCUUUUUUUUUUUCUUUGAGACAAAAUCUCACUCAGGCUGGAGUGCAAUGACACAAUCAUAGCUAAAUGCAGCCUUGAACUCCUGGGAUCAAGUCAUCUUCCCAACUCAGCCUGUCGAGUAACUGGGACUAUAGGUGCAUGCAACCACAGCCAGCAAUUUUUUUGUAUUUUUUGUAGAUACAAGGUUUUGCCAUGUUGCCCAGGCUGAUCUUAAACUCCUGGGCUCAAGCAAUCCACCUGCCUCAGCCUGCCAAACUGCUGGGAUUACAGGCAUGAGCCACCAUGCUUGGCCAAUGGCUGACUUCUGAAUUGCAAAGAUGAUGACCAGAGUCCAGUGUCGUAAUAGGUUGAAUGUAACAAAAUAAAAUAACUGGUAACUUACAAUCAUAUACUUAAAAAAAUGGCUUUCAAUGAGGAGAAUAAAAUAAAGACCUUCAUAGACAAACAAAAAUUGAGCUUUUGCUACCAACAGAUAAUUACAAAGGGACAUCUUAAAUGUUCUGCAGGAGGAAGUAAAUAAUCCUGGAAGAAAAAUGUCAGAUAGAAAAAGGAAUAAUGAGCAACGUCAGUGACCAAUAUGCUUAUUCAUGUAUAUUAAACAAAAAUGAAGUUGUCAUCGGGAUUAAAAACUGUAAUGGAACAAAAAUAUAUAAAAAUUGCAUGUAAAAUAAUUGUAGUUAAGUUAUUUUGAGCACCUAUAUUAUUGUGAAAGUGAAUAAAGAUUAAAACUGACACUUUGAUGAGUUUAUGCAUCAUAACUGUUCUAGUGUUUAUAUUAGAAAUUAAAAUAUGGUUAUUAAUUUUACCAUAUUAAUAAAACAUGGUUAUUAAUAACAGAAACAUGAAUGAGAAUAAUUAAUUCAAAAUAUCUAAGAAAUACACAAAGAUAAAAGGGAUUAGAUAAAUAAAAAACAAAAAUAACAGUGAAGACAUAAUAAAAAUAUGGUAGCAUUUGUAAUAAAUGUAAAUAGACUAAUUACCUCAGCUAAAAUACAAAAUUCAAAGCUGUGGCUGAGUGGCAGAGAAGCAGUAUGGUUCCAUUAAUGUACAUUUCAAAAAUUUAUAAUUUAUAUAUCUCACAGUAAACAUAUACUGGUAAAAAUGUAGCCUAAAAUCAUAAUAAAAAGCAAAAUAAUGAUAAUAAAAUUCAAAAGAAAAGUUAUCUCUGAGAAGUCAGAGAAAGGGAUUGGAUUAAGGAAGAACAUACUUGCUAAUUCAGGAUAUGUUAAUUUUUUUUCCUUACACUAGAUUCUAGGCAUAAUGGUUAUGCAUUGUAUACUUUCACCUACCCAUCAUAUAUUUUAAAAUGUUUGUUUCCCUCCAUAGUCAAUAAAACCAAUAAAAAAGAGGUAGCAUCAAAAAUAAAAGAUUUUAGAUGAAUAUAGAAUGUAUUGUAUCUCUGGUCUGAUGCUACCUUUUCUGUCAUCUUGAGAAGGAGAGCUGUCUUUGAUUGAUGAACCAGACUGAAUGAAUACAGCACUGCAAAAACUAAACCUGGGGCAAAUCUAGAUGACCAUUAACCUCUGCCAGGUAGUUAAAUGUUGUAGACUGCAAAAAUGUCCCAAUUUCUCACCACUGCCUUUAUAGUGUGACCUUGCAACUACCUCUAUCCAGAGGUGGAGUCUAUUUGUCUAUGUCUUGUUUCUGGGAUGGGCUUGUAACCUGCUUUGACCAAUAAGAUGCAGAAAAAUAUAUAUAUAUAUAUGCUGGGUCAGUUCUGAGCACUGGUCUCAAGAAAUUGUAAAUACUAUUCUUUGUCUUGAAAUCCUGCUAUCCAUUCUGUGAAUUUGUCUAAGCUACCCCAUUGUAUGAUGAGAGAUAUGUGACCCAGUCACUCCUGUUGUAUCUGUCAGAAAGUUGAAAAUAGGUGAAUGAGGCCAUCCUGGAGUAGCCAGCCUUGGCCUGCCCUACAGUUGACUUCAUGUGAGUAAGUGAGCUCAGGUACAAUACUGAAUCUAGGAUCAUCAAAACUGCCUGCCCAUUGACCGGCCCAUUGACAAUAAAUGAUUGUUGUAUUAAGCAUGUAAGUUUGGGGGUUAAUCAAAGCAGAUAUUAAUCAGAAAUAAAUGGAUUCUACAACUUUAUAAGCAC